GCAUUUGUGGGCCUUUGAUGGAAGACUCCAUACAAGUUUACUUGGGAAGAUUAUAUUGAAUGGAGUGUUCCUAAAGUCUGUAGUGAUGGAAUUCCAGACACACAAGUUGAUGCCUAAGUCGAGAGUGAUGGAACAGGAUAAAUAGAAGACAAUGUAGAGAAGCAGCAGGCUUGCAUCCGAGCGAACAAAAUCUGAAGGCAAUUACAUUUCCAAGUAUUAUGUUAAUAACACAAACUGUGUUCAAUAGUCAGAAACAGUAAAACAGCAGACGGGCUUUAAUUAAAGCUUCACAUCACUCUU
RNAcentral lists this long non-coding RNA (300 nucleotides) under Macaca mulatta (Rhesus monkey). RNAcentral's name for it is "lncRNA (ENSMMUG00000059491.1)". Lineage: Eukaryota; Metazoa; Chordata; Mammalia; Primates; Cercopithecidae. The record is from RNAcentral.